Molecule: ribosomal RNA, 534 nt
Filed under: Candida tropicalis
Lineage: Eukaryota; Fungi; Ascomycota; Pichiomycetes; Serinales; Debaryomycetaceae
Description: LSU rRNA
Rfam family: Eukaryotic large subunit ribosomal RNA
Source: RNAcentral
UCUGGCUCUUUCAGAGUCCGAGUUGUAAUUUGAAGAAGGUAUCUUUGGGUCUGGCUCUUGUCUAUGUUUCUUGGAACAGAACGUCACAGAGGGUGAGAAUCCCGUGCGAUGAGAUGAUCCAGGCCUAUGUAAAGUUCCUUCGAAGAGUCGAGUUGUUUGGGAAUGCAGCUCUAAGUGGGUGGUAAAUUCCAUCUAAAGCUAAAUAUUGGCGAGAGACCGAUAGCGAACAAGUACAGUGAUGGAAAGAUGAAAAGAACUUUGAAAAGAGAGUGAAAAAGUACGUGAAAUUGUUGAAAGGGAAGGGCUUGAGAUCAGACUUGGUAUUUUGUAUGUUACUUCUUCGGGGGUGGCCUCUACAGUUUAUCGGGCCAGCAUCAGUUUGGGCGGUAGGAGAAUUGCGUUGGAAUGUGGCACGGCUUCGGUUGUGUGUUAUAGCCUUCGUCGAUACUGCCAGCCUAGACUGAGGACUGCGGUUUAUACCUAGGAUGUUGGCAUAAUGAUCUUAAGUCGCCCGUCUUGAACCACGGGACCAAA